GCGGUAUUUUGACCGUGCGAAGGUAGCAUAAUCAUUAGUCUUUUAAUUGGAGGCUGGAAUGAAUGGUUGGACGAGAAGGAAGCUGUCUCUGUCUCGGAGAUUGAAUUUAACUUUUAAGUGAAAAGGCUUAAAUGAGUUAGAGGGACGAUAAGACCCUAUAAAGUUUGUACAUGAAGUUGAUUAAGAGUGAUUUAAGGUGUUAAAGUUUAUUAUCAGCAGGGUGUUUAGUUGGGGCGACUAGGAUAUAAAUUAUAUAACUGUUUUUUGUUUAAAUCAGAGAUAUUUGUUCAUAUGAUCCCUUUUUAGGAUUAGAGAAUAAAUUACUUUAGGGAUAACAGCGUAAUUUUUUUUAAGAGUUCUUAUCGACAAAAGAGUUUGCGACCUCGAUGUUGAAUUAAAAAUUUCUCUGUGGUGUAGCAGUUACAGAAGAAGGUCUGUUCGACCUUUAAAUUUUUACAUGAUUUGAGUUCAGACCGGCUAAA
Molecule: ribosomal RNA, 482 nt
Filed under: Cherax quadricarinatus
Lineage: Eukaryota; Metazoa; Arthropoda; Malacostraca; Decapoda; Parastacidae
Description: partial 16S ribosomal RNA
Rfam family: Bacterial large subunit ribosomal RNA
Source: RNAcentral